CAUUCUUCAAAAAAAAUAAUAAAAAAAAUAAUAUGACUCCAAUAAUAUACCAUAUACGAAAAAUCUUUUUCUUAGUCUGCAUCUUGUCUCUAAUUCAGAUCGCAUUCGAAUUAGAGAAAAGAUAAUAUUAUGACUUAUCAGCUAUAUCCAACCACCCUUAUUGGAUCCUCUCUGAUGAUGCCAAAAAUCACAAUCCAAAUCCAAUUAGGCAUAGAGAAAUUGGCAUGGAUCUAGAUGUGGCACA
Molecule: long non-coding RNA, 244 nt
Filed under: Elaeis guineensis (African oil palm)
Lineage: Eukaryota; Viridiplantae; Streptophyta; Magnoliopsida; Arecales; Arecaceae
Description: long non-coding RNA (EGUI_LNC069330)
Source: RNAcentral